CCCAUGGCUCAGAUUGAACGCUGGCGGCAGGCCUAACACAUGCAAGUCGAGCGGUAGAGAGAAGCUUGCUUCUCUUGAGAGCGGCGGACGGGUGAGUAAUGCCUAGGAAUCUGCCUGGUAGUGGGGGAUAACGUUCGGAAACGGACGCUAAUACCGCAUACGUCCUACGGGAGAAAGCAGGGGACCUUCGGGCCUUGCGCUAUCAGAUGAGCCUAGGUCGGAUUAGCUAGUUGGUGAGGUAAUGGCUCACCAAGGCGACGAUCCGUAACUGGUCUGAGAGGAUGAUCAGUCACACUGGAACUGAGACACGGUCCAGACUCCUACGGGAGGCAGCAGUGGGGAAUAUUGGACAAUGGGCGAAAGCCUGAUCCAGCCAUGCCGCGUGUGUGAAGAAGGUCUUCGGAUUGUAAAGCACUUUAAGUUGGGAGGAAGGGCAGUAACUUAAUACGUUGCUGUUUUGACGUUACCGACAGAAUAAGC
RNAcentral lists this ribosomal RNA (480 nucleotides) under Pseudomonas sp. CL4.126. Its description in RNAcentral is "bacterial SSU rRNA". It matches the Rfam family "Bacterial small subunit ribosomal RNA", at positions 16 to 491 of the family's 1533-position model. Lineage: Bacteria; Pseudomonadati; Pseudomonadota; Gammaproteobacteria; Pseudomonadales; Pseudomonadaceae. The record is from RNAcentral.